Molecule: long non-coding RNA, 1123 nt
Organism: Alexandromys fortis (reed vole)
Lineage: Eukaryota; Metazoa; Chordata; Mammalia; Rodentia; Cricetidae
Exons: 2
Source: RefSeq, a predicted model, not a curated record
AGCAACGCCGAGGGCUGUGGGCAGAUGAGGGUAAAGUCAGACAGGCCCGCUUAAGCUGGCCUGAGAGAAUCCUGGACGCAAGCUCCCAGCACCUCUGGAGGGGCAGAGCUUCUAUUUCUACCCUCCAAGAAGGUCAGCCCUCUAGUGCGUGUCCUGAGCAGAGGGCCACUCCCACUCCUCAAGACCUCCCUCCCCUAACAUUCCCUAGGCCUUACUAUUCCCAAGCCCUGGAAGGAGACACACUGGGGCCCCUCCUCUAACCUCCCAAGCCCAGGUUCCCGGAAAAGGCUUCCCGUCUGCAGCAUGACCUCAGGGAGCUUCCAACUCAUACCUGUUAGCCACACAUCCCAUGCUGUCACAGAUUUACCUCCAGAUGGCAGGGGGCAAAGACCACACUUUUCUUUCUCCCUCUCCUUUCUCUUUCUCAUGGGUCCCGGUCAUUCAAACCUUUCAAAUCUCGGUACUCUAACGAGAUUCUCUCCAUUUCUAAUGACCCACUGUGUUCUCAACUUCCCAGGACUGGCACCCCAAGAUGCUUAAGUGACCCUUCUCAGCCAGCACAGAAAGCCUUCUGCUCCAAGAUAUCCAAGAGGAUCCCUCAAGCAGCCUGGGUAAUCUCCCGGGUUCCCUGGGAUUCUACGAGCCAGCCUAACAUCUCAACAAAAUUCAAGCUCUACUUUCCAGGACAAGCACGUGCAAAGCACGACGGGAGAUGUAGUCCUGCAAAUUCUGGCGCUAUCGUGGGAAAAAUGGGAUACUGGGGCCAGCCGGCACUACAACUAAGAUGGCGAAAGGCAUGCCAUGCUGGGAGCCGAGCAUGGCGGGAAUUAUAGUCCAGUUGACCAGAGACUCCCCGUAGCAGGACAUAGAGAAGGAGCGGGAACGAUGACUACAAACAAGAUGGCCUUUUCUCCCGACCCGACCUCCUUUCCAGGCACUCACACGCCCUCUGGUCCACAACCCUCCGCGUGUGUGGUACCUGACGGGAGUCGCAGUCCAUCUGCUGCCUUCCCGCUGCCAUUUCUACUCGUCAGGAACAAUGGAAAGGUGAAAAGGAACAAGGACUACAAGCAAGAUGGCGAACGAGGGGCGUACACCUAAUAAAUUGGUUUUUAUGAAGUGG